Molecule: non-coding RNA, 97 nt
Organism: Mycena leptocephala
Lineage: Eukaryota; Fungi; Basidiomycota; Agaricomycetes; Agaricales; Mycenaceae
Source: the annotation of a GenBank genome assembly
GGCCGCCUGGCGAAAUGGCAUCGCGUCUGACUACGAUUUUCAUCCUGGAAUGAUAUUUGUAAUCAGGAGAUUGCAGGUUCGACCCCUGCGGUGGUCA